AACGAACGCUGGCGGCAGGCUUAACACAUGCAAGUUGAACGCGUGUAGCAAUACACGAGUAGCGCACGGGUGCGUAACGCGUGGGAACCUUCCUCGUAGUUAGGAAUAACUCAGGGAAACUUGAGCUAAUACCGAAUGCCUCCUCCGGGAGAAAGAUUUAUCGCUACGUGAUGGGCCCGCGUCAGAUUAGGUAGUUGGUAGGGUAACGGCCUACCAAGCCGACGAUCUGUAGCUGGUCUGAGAGGAUGAUCAGCCACACUGGGACUGAGACACGGCCCAGACUCCUACGGGAGGCAGCAGUGGGGAAUAUUGGACAAUGGGGGCAACCCUGAUCCAGCCAUGCCGCGUGAGUGAAGAAGGCCUUCGGGUUGUAAAGCUCUUUCGACGGGGACGAUGAUGACGGUACCCGUAUAAGAAGCCCCGGCUAACUUCGUGCCAGCAGCCGCAGUAA
RNAcentral lists this ribosomal RNA (451 nucleotides) under uncultured bacterium. RNAcentral's name for it is "partial 16S ribosomal RNA". It matches the Rfam family "Bacterial small subunit ribosomal RNA", at positions 29 to 523 of the family's 1533-position model. The record is from RNAcentral.